Molecule: RNA transcript, 1690 nt
Organism: Rhinopithecus roxellana (golden snub-nosed monkey)
Lineage: Eukaryota; Metazoa; Chordata; Mammalia; Primates; Cercopithecidae
Exons: 1
Source: RefSeq, a predicted model, not a curated record
GCCAGUGGUACCAAGGGCUGGCAGCCAGGGCCCUGCAGGGAACAGACCCAAGAGCUGACAUGGGGAUGUCUGCUGAAGGGUGUAUUUACCACGAAAAGGGCAGGGCUGGGCGGCUGGGCAGCCAGUUUCACCCUCGCACAGGGUACCUGGCAAGACCAGCGGCCGGAGGUGACGUCCUCAGUAGAGAACGGUGGCCACUGGAAACUGCGCAGCUGGAAGGAGAAACGCUCGGGCCUCUGGUGGGGACCAGCCUGGGGUGGGGUCGGCCAGGGUCAGCUGCCUUUCCUCCAUGCUGGGACAGAGAUGUUGUGUGUGUGUGACAAAGCAUUUGAUAGCACACCAAAAGUUUCCUCCGUUAUGUGUGUGUGAAGUGUUUGACCAGGUCAGAAGUCUUGUUCCACGCGCAUGUGCUCACGCAGACAGAAGCGGAGGGGCCCUGUCACUCUGCCUCACACCGCUGAACCACAGAGGUCUCCCACUCGUCAGGCUUGCGGCUCAGCCGCUAAGUGUGUCAGGUGUGCAUCCCGGGCUCUCCUUCGUGCUCUGCCCUAUGGUGGCACAGGCGGUGAGGUUAGACAGGUACCGGUCAGAUUAUGGUGGCACAGGCGAUGUGAGGUUAGACAGGUAUCGGUCAGAUUACAGUGGCACAGGCGGUGUGAGGUUAGACAGGUACCGGUCAGAUUACGGUGGCACAGGCAGUGGGGUUAGACAGGUACCGGUCAGAUUAUGGUGGCACAGGCGGUGUGGGGGAUUAGACAGAUACUGGUCAGAUUACAGUGGCACAGGCGGUGUGGGGUUAGACAGGUGCCGGUCAGAUUACGGUGGCACAGGCGGUGUGGGGUUAGACAGGUACCGGUCAGAUUACGGUGGCACGGGCGGUGGGGUUAGACAGGUACCAGUCAGAUGCACGGGCUCCCCACACCCCUGCUGUGGCUUUGGCAGUAAGGACAGGACGCACCCACAUCACAAGAGGAGCACAGGCAGGGGUGUUGGUGUUGGGGCAGCCCUCAGGGUCUCCAGACCCUGGCCCCCCUCACACAGCAGCCCAGGAAGGAAGGGCAGAGUCCCAGGUGUCACCUGGUGGGGAUCUCCCAGGAGCUGCCCCUUUCUGGAAGUCACAGGACAGGAAUGACAGGUCGGGGGACUGCAGGAAGCUGCCACCUCUGGGGUCAGAACAUGCCCAGGCUGCAGGGGCUCCAUUGCGGGGUCUUCGAGAGCCAGACAGCCUGCCUUGUGCUGCACACCUGGCUUUGCUCUGUGCAGAACCCAGCACACGUGAUUUUGUGUGACAUGCCAACAGCCUGGCUCCCUGGACAGGAGGCCUGCCCUGGGGUAGUGGCUGCAGGAGGAGGGUGGGGCAGGCACCCAUGAGUCUGUCCAGCCUUGUCACAGAUGCGUCGCCCGCCCUGCAGUCCUGAUUUCAGCUCACCUCAGAGUAAAUCAGAAUAAACCACACCUGGACUUUCACGAAUGCAUUGUCGACGCUUUCAGUUCACCCCUUUCUUUGCUAACUUUCUUCCUAUUUUCUUCUAACGCAAGAGCUUAUUAAUUCAAUAUUUAUCAUUUUGAAUAACUUUUUCCCUUUUUAGUAACAAAAUGUACUCCACUAUUAGUAAAAUGUAUUUACUAUUUUAGUAACAAAAUUAUACUUGCCUAAUCAUGUUUAAAAUAUAGUGAUGUGAACAAUUCA